GGCUCCAUAGCUCAGUUGGUAGAGCAAAGGAUUGAAAAUCCUUGUGUCGACGGUUCGAUUCCGCCUGGCGCCACCA
This 76-nucleotide transfer RNA is filed under the name Sulfurovum sp. RNAcentral's name for it is "tRNA-Phe". It matches the Rfam family "tRNA". Rfam says of the family: Transfer RNA (tRNA) molecules are approximately 80 nucleotides in length. Their secondary structure includes four short double-helical elements and three loops (D, anti-codon, and T loops). Further hydrogen bonds mediate the characteristic L-shaped molecular structure. tRNAs have two regions of fundamental functional importance: the anti-codon, which is responsible for specific mRNA codon recognition, and the 3' end, to which the tRNAs corresponding amino acid is attached (by aminoacyl-tRNA synthetases). tRNAs cope with the degeneracy of the genetic code in two manners: having more than one tRNA (with a specific anti-codon) for a particular amino acid; and 'wobble' base-pairing, i.e. permitting non-standard base-pairing at the 3rd anti-codon position. Lineage: Bacteria; Pseudomonadati; Campylobacterota; Epsilonproteobacteria; Campylobacterales; Sulfurovaceae. The record is from RNAcentral.